GACGAACGCUGGCGGCGUGCCUAAUACAUGCAAGUUGAGCGCUGAAGGUUGGUACUUGUACCAACUGGAUGAGCAGCGAACGGGUGAGUAACGCGUGGGGAAUCUGCCUUUGAGCGGGGGACAACAUUUGGAAACGAAUGCUAAUACCGCAUAAAAACUUUAAACACAAGUUUUAAGUUUGAAAGAUGCAAUUGCAUCACUCAAAGAUGAUCCCGCGUUGUAUUAGCUAGUUGGUGAGGUAAAGGCUCACCAAGGCGAUGAUACAUAGCCGACCUGAGAGGGUGAUCGGCCAAAUUGGGACUGAGACACGGCCCAAACUCCUACGGGAGGCAGCAGGAGGGAAUCUUCGGCAAUGGACGAAAGUCUGACCGAGCAACGCCGCGGGAGUGAAGAAGGUUGUCGGAUCGUAAAACUCGGUUGGUAGAGAAGAACGUUGGUGAGAGUGGAAAGCUCAUAAAGUGACGGUAACUACCCAGAAAGGGACGGCUAACUACGCG
Molecule: ribosomal RNA, 497 nt
Filed under: uncultured bacterium
Lineage: Bacteria
Description: partial 16S ribosomal RNA
Rfam family: Bacterial small subunit ribosomal RNA
Source: RNAcentral